AUGAACUGCCUUAAUGUGCUUGUCCAAAUUGGAUUCCUGAAAUUCAAAAUGUGGAGCAUGAAAAACAGAGCAGUUUUGCGAUUUAUUGCAGACAGCAACAAAUCCAUGAAAAAGAGUCAGACAUGUGAGAUUGCAAAUCACACCUUUGAAAAUGAGCACUUGCAGUCCUCAAUGUGGCAUUUAAUUCUCAGUGACAAAUAUAUAUUUUUUGAAAUGUGGGCAAAAGCUUUGCCCGUUCCAUUAAUUAAGAAGAAGAUUGAUGCUCAGUUAAUUACGGAAAAUUGGGCAAAAACGGAUACAACAAGGGCUAAGCCCACUUCCAAACAUCGAUACUCACAGCACCAAGCCCACUCUCGCCAAUGA
Molecule: ribosomal RNA, 363 nt
Filed under: Triticum aestivum (bread wheat)
Lineage: Eukaryota; Viridiplantae; Streptophyta; Magnoliopsida; Poales; Poaceae
Description: partial small subunit ribosomal RNA
Source: RNAcentral